CUGGAAAGCUACGAGGAACCUCCACGGAGACCAGUACGACCUCCAGCUAGAUAUAGUAGACAUCUGAGUAGUGGUGAUGACGAAGACUCACCGCCACCAAAGACACGCGUUGUAAGCACACCAAAAUUCAUUCCAAGGACAGAAUAUUUUGAAGAACAAAUUCAGUGUUUUCCAAGGGCCCAAGUAUCAGAAACUGCA
This is a non-coding RNA of Paramisgurnus dabryanus, 198 nucleotides long. The record is from RefSeq and is a predicted model, not a curated record. NCBI's taxonomy places the organism in Eukaryota, Metazoa, Chordata, Actinopteri, Cypriniformes, Cobitidae.